This 522-nucleotide ribosomal RNA is filed under the name uncultured Glomeraceae. Its description in RNAcentral is "SSU rRNA". It matches the Rfam family "Eukaryotic small subunit ribosomal RNA", at positions 569 to 1092 of the family's 1831-position model. Lineage: Eukaryota; Fungi; Glomeromycota; Glomeromycetes; Glomerales; Glomeraceae. The record is from RNAcentral.
AGCAGCCGCGGUAAUUCCAGCUCCAAUAGCGUAUAUUAAAGUUGUUGCAGUUAAAAAGCUCGUAGUUGAAUUUCGGGAUCAGUAGGUUGGUCAUGCCUCUGGUAUGUACUGGCCUCACUGGUUCCUCCUUCCUGAUGAACUGUAAUGCCAUUAAUUUGGUGUUGCGGGGAGACUGGACUGUUACUUUGAAAAAAUUAGAGUGUUUAAAGCAGGCUUACGCUUGAAUACAUUAGCAUGGAAUAAUGAAAUAGGACGUUCGAUCCUAUUUUGUUGGUUUCUAGGAUUGACGUAAUGAUUAAUAGGGAUAGUUGGGGGCAUUAGUAUUCAAUUGUCAGAGGUGAAAUUCUUGGAUUUAUUGAAGACUAACUACUGCGAAAGCAUUUGCCAAGGAUGUUUUCAUUAAUCAAGAACGAAAGUUAGGGGAUCGAAGACGAUCAGAUACCGUCGUAGUCUUAACCAUAAACUAUGCCGACUAGGGAUCGGAUGAUGUUAAUUUUUUAAUGACUCAUUCGGCGCCUUACG